This 501-nucleotide ribosomal RNA is filed under the name uncultured bacterium. Its description in RNAcentral is "bacterial SSU rRNA". It matches the Rfam family "Bacterial small subunit ribosomal RNA", at positions 8 to 501 of the family's 1533-position model. The record is from RNAcentral.
AGAGUUUGAUCCUGGCUCAGAACGAACGCUGGCGGCGUGCUUAACACAUGCAAGUCGAGCGAGAAAUUUCCCGCUUGCGGGAAAAAGUAAAGCGGCGCACGGGUGAGUAAUGCUUGGGAAUAUGCCUUAUGGUGGGGGACAACAGUUGGAAACGACUGCUAAUACCGCAUAACGUCUACGGACCAAAGGGGGGGAUCUUCGGACCUCUCGCCAUUUGAUUAGCCCAAGUGAGAUUAGCUAGUUGGUAAGGUAAAGGCUUACCAAGGCGACGAUCUCUAGCUGGUUUGAGAGGAUGAUCAGCCACACUGGGACUGAGACACGGCCCAGACUCCUACGGGAGGCAGCAGUGGGGAAUAUUGCACAAUGGGCGAAAGCCUGAUGCAGCCAUGCUGCGUGUGUGAAGAAGGCCUUCGGGUUGUAAAGCACUUUCAGUUGUGAGGAAAGGGAUGUAGUUAAUAGCUGCAUUCUGUGACGUUAACAACAGAAGAAGCACCGGCUAAC